This 446-nucleotide ribosomal RNA is filed under the name uncultured bacterium. RNAcentral's name for it is "bacterial SSU rRNA". It matches the Rfam family "Bacterial small subunit ribosomal RNA", at positions 329 to 792 of the family's 1533-position model. The record is from RNAcentral.
CGCCAGACUCCUACGGGAGGCAGCAGUGGGGAAUAUUGCACAAUGGGGGAAACCCUGAUGCAGCGACGCCGCGUGAGUGAGGAAGUAUUUCGGUAUGUAAAGCUCUAUCAGCAGGGAAGAAAAUGACGGUACCUGACUAAGAAGCCCCGGCUAACUACGUGCCAGCAGCCGCGGUAAUACGUAGGGGGCAAGCGUUAUCCGGAUUUACUGGGUGUAAAGGGAGCGUAGACGGUAUGGCAAGUCUGAAGUGAAAGCCCCGGGCUCAACCUGGGAACUGCUUUGGAAACUGUUAAACUAGAGUGCUGGAGAGGCAGGCGGAAUUCCUAGUGUAGCGGUGAAAUGCGUAGAUAUUAGGAGGAACACCAGUGGCGAAGGCGGCCUGCUGGACAGUAACUGACGUUGAGGCUCGAAAGCGUGGGGAGCAAACAGGAUUAGAUACCCGUGUA